This 885-nucleotide ribosomal RNA is filed under the name uncultured Planctomycetota bacterium. RNAcentral describes it as "bacterial SSU rRNA". It matches the Rfam family "Bacterial small subunit ribosomal RNA", at positions 28 to 895 of the family's 1533-position model. Lineage: Bacteria; Pseudomonadati; Planctomycetota. The record is from RNAcentral.
AACGAACGCUGGCGGCGUGGCUAAGACAUGCAAGUCGAACGGACUAUUGCCUUGAGUAAUCGAGACAAUAGUUAGUGGCGAAAGGGUUAGUAAUGAAUAGGUAACGUACCCUGUGCAUCGGGAUAGCGUUAUUCGCCUUCGGGCGAAUUUCCGAAAGGGGCGGUAAUACCGAAAAUAUUACUUGUCGAUGGACAAGUAAUCAAAGAUUUAUCGGCACAGGAGCGGCCUAUUUCCUAUCAGCUUGUUGGUGAGGUAACUGCUCACCAAGGCUAUGACGGGUAGCGGGACUGAGAGGUUGACCCGCAACAUCGGGACUGAGACACUGCCCGGACCUCCACGGAGGGCUGCAGUAACGAGUCUUGCGCAAUGGGCGAAAGCCUGACGCAGCGACGCCGCGUGCGGGAAGAAGUCCCUCGGGAUGUAAACCGCUGUCAGGGUAAAGAAAGUCCACUUCGGUGGAUUGAUCUAACCCAAAGGAAGUCACGGCUAACUUCGUGCCAGCAGCCGCGGUAAGACGAAGGUGGCAAGCGUUGUUCGGUAUCACUGGGCUUAAAGCGUGUGUAGGCGGAAAAGUAAGCGUCGCGUGAAAGCCCCCGGCUUAACCGGGGAACUGCUCGACGAACUGCCUUUCUUGAGGCAAGCAGGGGUGCACGGAACUCUUGGUGGAGCGGUGGAAUGCGUAGAUAUCAAGAGGAACGCCGGUGGAGAAAUCGGUGCACUGGGCUUGUUCUGACGCUGAGACACGAAAGCGUGGGGAGCGAACGGGAUUAGAUACCCCGGUAGUCCACGCCGUAAACGAUGUCUACUAGGUUGUGGUAGUUCUGACACCAGCACGGCCGAAGCAAAAGUGAUUAGUAGACCGCCUGGGGAGACGGUCGCAAGGCU